AUGGCCUCAACCACGAGCACCAAGAAGAUGAUGGAGGAAGCCACCUGCUCCAUCAGCCUGAGCCUGAUGACGAACGCAGUAAGCAUCAACUGUGGACACAUGAAAUGUCAUGUGACGAACAUGGAGAACAGCUCCACCUGCUCUACGAAGAUGAAGGACAGCUCAUCUGCUGGCGCCGUGAGCCAGCACUGCAACACAAAGGGCACACCACAGUGCUUGUUGAAGACAUAUGCCAGGGCUACAAGGAAAAGCUUCACAAAGCUGUGACAAAUUUGAGGCAACUUGAAGACGAAUGGAGCAGAAGCUGUUCACAGCAAUACAAAUAACUAAAUGAAAGAAAAGAUACAGAUUCAGAAACAAAAAAAUCCAGUCUGACUUUAAGGGUCUUCAGAGUUUCCUACAUGAGGAAGAGAAGGGAUAUCUCUGGAGACUGGAGAAAGAAUAACAACAGACUCUGAGUCAACUGAGGGACCAUGAGGCCAGUCUGAGGCUGAAGAGUAAUGAACUAAAGAGCCAGAUCCUGGAACGGGAGGAAAAAUGUCAGGGCUCAGCCCAGAAAUUGCUACAGAACGUAAAUGACACUUUGAGCAAGAGUUGGGCCACGAAGCUGGAAACAUCAGAGGCCGUCUCCUUGGAGCUUCAUACUAUGUGCAAUGUUUCUGAGCUUUACUUUGAUGUGAAGAAAAUGUUAAGGAAUCAUCAAGUCAGUGUGACUCUGGAUCCAGACACAGCUCAUCAUGAACUAAUUCUGUCUGAAGAUGGGAGGCAAGUGACUCAAGGAUACCCCCAGCAGAAUCAGGACACUUCUUCCAGGAGAUUUAGUGCCUUGCCUUGUGUCUUGGGUUGUGAAGGUUUCACCUCAGGAAGAUGCUACUUUGAAGUGGAUGUUGGAGAAGGAACCGGGUGGAUUUAGGAGUUUGUAUGGAUAAUGUGCAAAGAAGCACUGGCAUGAAGCAAGAGCCUCAGUUUGGAUUCUGGGCCCUCGAUGUGUACAAAAAGAAAGGUUAUGUAGCACUUACUUCUCUCCCAACUUCCCUUCAUCUGCAUGAGCAGCAUCUGGCUGUGGGAGUUUUUCUGGACUAUGAGGCCGGAGUUGUAUCCUUUCACAAUGGGACUACUGGCUGCCACAUCUUCACUUUCCCAAAGGCUUCCUUCUCUGAUACUCUCUGGCCCUAUUUCCAGGUUUAUCAUUAUUAUCCUUUGUUUCUGCCUUCCCUAGAUGAUUAAGGAAAAAAGCAGAGGCCCCUUCAUUUAACCAGCACAAAGAAAAUAAUGUAAAUCCCAUAAG
Molecule: RNA transcript, 1288 nt
Organism: Cebus imitator (Panamanian white-faced capuchin)
Lineage: Eukaryota; Metazoa; Chordata; Mammalia; Primates; Cebidae
Gene name: E3 ubiquitin-protein ligase TRIM38-like
Exons: 1
Source: RefSeq, a predicted model, not a curated record